This is a long non-coding RNA of Carassius gibelio (silver crucian carp), 6157 nucleotides long. RefSeq lists it as uncharacterized. The record is from RefSeq and is a predicted model, not a curated record. The transcript has 15 exons. Lineage: Eukaryota; Metazoa; Chordata; Actinopteri; Cypriniformes; Cyprinidae.
ACAUGUUUUAGAAAUGACCAGCUAUUCAUUUUUAUAACUCAGACUUUCUAUACUAAAACAUUAAUACAUCUUUCUGUGACUUUGAAAGGCAUCUUUAAUGCAAGUGGUCUUGAUAAGCAUUGUUCAUGCUUUUGUUACUAUUAAAAAUGUCUUAUGAUGCAUUGGUUCAAACAGAAGAUAGCAAUGUGAAAUGCAAUUCAGCCCAACUAUUUCUAGUCUAAUAUCUGGUACUGAUGUCUUGCACAAAAUAAUUAUGAAAGCAUCUUGUAAUGUAAUUAGGAGGAUUAGAUUGACAAAUAUGAGGCUAGUUUAACUCCUGAUGGACAGGAAGUGGUGUGAUUACCGUUGGUAGAGAGGAGAAAGUGGGCAGCGUUUUGCUGUGGCAGCCAGCGGAUCUUAUUGAUCUUCUCCUCGAUUUCCAAACUCUUCAGAUAGUCAAAGUCCGGUUCGUGACUCUGGAACGUGCUGUAGACAUUAUACUCACCCGAUUCUCCCAGCUCUUCAGAUUCACUUUUAGACUGCGAUGACCACUCGCCCCCCCUUAUCUCCUGUGGCCAGCAGAUCCCCCGUCUGGUUAAACUCCACUGUAGAAAUGACAUCAGCUACAAAGAAAGAAAGAAACAGGUGUGUGGUUGGACCAGGUGACCAAAGUCUGAGUCAGCUGAAUGAGAAGACCUUACCGCUCAUCUGCUGAGAUGAAGGUUAUUUUCAGGACUUCAGAGAGUCUCGGAGGAAGCUGUGAUUGAUUUUGGGGCUCUCGCUGUCCUCACCCAUCGGAAGCGGCGGAGUGCGUAAGCGCGCCCGUCCGGAGCAGAGCCGUCCAAUCCGUGCUGUCCCACCCCCCCGGUGCUUUGCCCAUGCUGGUGCGGCCUAGCAGAGUGGCCUGGCGCACGGCAUCCUGGGAUAUGGUCCGGGUUUGUCAGGAGGAAGAUGAGCACCAAGCAACAAGGAUGCCACGUACAGAUGGGGAAAAGGGAGGGUAAAAAACGGGAUGAAUAAACCACAGCUCAGUCAGCUGUAGAAAAGCACCUUGUCAUAUGCGAAACAUGCUCGAGCGCACGUCCUGACGCUCAGCCAACACUGCCUGGCAACAAGAAAAGAGAAUCUAGGUGUGUGAGUGAUCCGUAGAUCCGUCGUGCUGCGGUAAGUCCUUUUCCAGGCGUGGGUGCGGUAGUCCUUGAAGGAGAGCAGAGGAGAGAGAGAGACAGGCUGUCUUUCACAGGAGGAAGAGGAGAGGCCUGGUCGUACCUCACAGCUUCACGGUGUGUCUUCUCCCUUCUGCUGCAGUGUGACGGAGUGCACGUGUGUGUAUGCGUGUUUCUGCUUGAAGGGAAAGGAAAGAUGAAAAAGAGGGGGGAGGGAGAGAAGAGGGAAAGAGAGAGCGAGAGGAUACCACCAGCCUGUCUUUCUCGACUACCACUGCUGCUGAGCAUCUGCACAGCAUCACCAUAUCACAGAAGCCUCCUCCCUGCUCGGCCAAUCAGAGCAAGGCUAUCCUUGGCCGCACCUCCCACUGCAGGUGACAAGAGGAAUGAGCCUGGAGAGGAGAGUAGAUGAGGACAUCAGAGAGAUGGAGGGAAGAGAAUCUGGAAUGCGGCGGAGCCAGAGAUUUUCACUGGAGUGAGAACUGUGACAUGAUGAGACUGAUGAGAAAUGGAGCAAAUGUCAUCCAAAAAGGCAAAGAUGGAAGAGGAAAUGCUGAUAAGGAUGCAAAUAAUGGAAGGGUUCACUUUAGAGGAAGAUCCAGCAGCUUGCGUAUCUGCAUCUGCUUUUGGAGAGAAGAAAGGCGAGAGAAAACAUGCCAUGUCUGCAAACAAAGUCCCUGCCCUCUUUGCCUGCUGAAGGGAGGUAUGAAGUCUCCUCAGCCCAAAAGGGGUCUCAAGGGUCCAGAUACAAGUCGGGUAAAAUUGUUCACAAAGUGUUCACAUGUGGAGAGGAAUGACAGCAUAAAAAAGCAGUGUGUCAUCACCAGUGCUGGACGGUUCUUCUCACCUCUCUGGACCCUAGGGGCGAAAACCCAGAGACUGGGAUUCAGGAUGGGAAAGGAAGGUGAGAAAGUGAAGGCAUGGCUGGAUGAUCGAUCGGAUUCUGUCAGCUCUUACUUUAUCAGAUACUCAAGAUCAGCAGUGUAGCUACAUCUGUUCUGAGAGAGUAUGUAAAAAUAAUGUUAUGUGAUGCAAUAUUUCCAGCCAUCUGCUUUCAUUCUUCAUGUCUUAAGUUUGAACACUGCUUUAUACUGGAAAAUGGUUCUAAAUAGCAACAGAUUUGGGUUCCGUGUAUUUCUGGAUAGAACAGGAGAAUAAGAAUUUUUUGCAUUGCUUUACUCUUUUAAGUUACUUAUAUUACUGUUUUAAAAUAAGUCUCUUAACUCUUAACUCUUUGAUAAAAAAUACAUGCUUAAACCUAAGAUAUACAGUUGAUCACCCAUGCUAGCUAUUCCCAAAUUGCUAUUAGUGCAAUCUAACCUGUUAUUAUCUCUUUUCUCUUCUUACACAUUGGGUGCAUGGCUGUUUAGAAAGAGCCCAAGCUGCCCAAACCCUCAUAACUGAGCCUAGGUUGAAAAAUUCUUGGCAGACGUGGAGUGUCCCAUCUUGUCUGUGGGCACACUUGAGGGCAUGCAUGUGUACCCUGCCACAAUGAAAAGACCACACUUUCCUAUCUUCCUAUCAGAGGAGGAGUCUGUCUGCAGCUAUACACAGGCAGAGUGGGACAAGUGCAUUAUGGGAUACAUGGUCAGCACUAAGAGGCCACUGAACAUCAGGAAUUCUUGUGAGUGUGUGAACAAAAGCAGGCCAGGCACAUGUGCAGGGAGCUUUUUCUCAGAACAAGAUGAGAAAGUAAGUAUUUAUCAAUAUUAAAGAUGUUAAAAAAAUCUUGUCUUUCGAUGAUCUGAAAUACAAUGGUGUUGAGUCCAUAUCAAGUUUUUUUCUUUACACUAUGCAUGACAUUUGUGUGAAAUAUAAAAUGAAUUUAUAUGACAAGCCACCUAUCUUUAAUGAAUAAUCAGUGCUAAAUUUUGUCAUGUGACCUGAGUCAAAGAAAGAGUCAUCUUUUUGUCUCUGUUGUUUGGACUGAUCCUGGAAAACUGUCAGCUGUGUGAGAGCUAACACAGUCAGGUGUCACACAGAGUUUACAUUUAUUUAUUUAGCCACUUUUUUCUACAGUGCGUUACUCACUUUUAUCUAAAAUGAUUAAUCUGUUAAAGAUACAUAAAAUGGUGUUUACGAAGAAAAUUACAGUAAAAAAUGACAGUAUAGGGAAACUUUUGCUACAUUAUUUUUGACAUGUGACAGGUACUGUUCUGAUUGGCCCAGCUGGUCACAUGACUACGCCUCUCUGGAUGACAAUCUCUGCUGUCAUCCUGCCAGUUACAAAAGCACAAUUCUGUAGUAUUUUUAUCUCAACUGACAGCUCCAUAUUAGUACAAGAAUCAACACUUUAUGGAUAAUGAUUCACUGUUAAAAUAAAGGAUGCUUUAUUUGUUCUUAGCAGCUGUGAAGUUUUAGUUGUGCUGAUACAUGUGUCUUUCACUUUCUUUUAAUUUCUUGUGUAGGUUAAAAGACUGCGUGAAGCUCAUAAAAUUAUUUUAAUACUGAACUACUAAAACAGCUAAAGUUGAUACUGAUAAAUCUGAUAAAUAAAAAAAUAAAAAACAUUUUGUCUCAAAGAUGGUCCAUAUAGAGCAUAAAAAACAACUGCUCUUUGUUCUACAAGGUAAAUAAAUGUACAUUUAUAAUUUGAUCAGGUGUUACAAAAUAAUAGGUAAUUGUUUUAACCCCAUAAUAUUGAAAGUCAGUGUUCAGUUCAGUAUUGCUCUUUAAUACUUAAGCAAAAAAAACAAAAAAAAACCCAAAGGUAUACAACUUUAUGCAUUCUUAUGUAUACAAUGAGUUUAGCAUAGUUAAAUGUAAAAUUAUAUUUUUAUGACAGCAAUGACGUCAUCUACAUGUAUGCUAUGCCUGUACAAAACUCAAUGGAGACGCUGAACAUUGUUAACAAACCUGUAAGUUUAUCUGAUUCAUUCACUGGUCACAUUGCUAUUCAUAUAAGAUUAUUGUGUGUGUGUGAGUGCUGGAAUAAAAAAAAAAAUGUGGCUAAUGGAUAAAUUGAGGUCAUAUGUCUACAUGGAAAUCAAUGACAUAUUUUCAUAGUUUUUCUUCCUUUUUAUAUAUAUAUGCAUAUGAUUACUUUAGAGAAAACCAUAUCACCAUGUGACUAAAAAGUACCUUUUAUCUGAGAUUUCCCAUGUCUGUUUCAGUCACACUUUAGUUUGGGGGUCAGUUCUCUAUUAAAUAACUAUUAACUUGCCUCAGUAAUCUCCUUGUUUACUACUUAAUUAUUUACUAACUUAAUAAAUUAAUAGUUAUUAAGGUAGUUGUUGAGUUUAGGCAUGGAGUCAGGUUAAGGGAUCUAGAAUACGGUCAUGAAGAAUAAAGCAUGUGCUUUAUAAGAACUAAAAAAGAGUCAAUAUGCUAUUAAUAUGCAUGCUAAUAAGCAACUAGUCAAUAUUGAGAACUGGUUUCGAAACCAAAGUGUUAUGUGAAUUUCUGACAUACACUGUUUUUGUGUGUUCUCCAAGGCCCAGACUUCUAAGAUCUCUCAUGUCAGGAGUUUGAACAGCACAUUUCUGAGAGGCAAACGGAAAUAACAUCUUAGUUAAUUUCCACUGUCCCUAGUAUUUAUCCAACAAACCAAAGCUCUCAUGCUUUCCCAUAGGAUUUUUUUGGGUUGUUGUUUCAGACUGUUUUGCUCAUAUUAUAGUAUAUUUGCACAUAUUACUGUAACAUACAGUACAACACAUACAGUAAGAGAACUAUAUAUUUAACAUGGAAAACAUUGUUCAGAUCAUUUGGUUUAGAAAGAAUUUGCUGAUAAAUUUUUCCAAGACUUUUGAUCUUGGAAAUCUGUCUCAUUCUACUCUUUUUUUCAGUCUCACUGAUGCAACUAAAAAGAUCUCACUUGUUGUUUUCCUCAGUUUAGAUACAAAUAGUACAUCCCAUUCUGUGAAUCUCCACGCUAGUCAAUAAAAUGACUCUCACAGAGACAGAAGUUUUUAGUUAAGCUGAUGAGCACCUCCUAGAGUACUUUGCAGUUUGUUGUGCUGUGGGAUUACAACAUUUCAACAUGCCGCUGAUGGCAGAUAGAACCAGAUCCAAGCUGGCUAUGACUAAAGGGGUUUGAAAUGGUCUUAUCUUAUCAAAUUUCAGCUUCACAAGAAGAAAUUGAUAUCUUAGAGGAGGCUGUCAUCGUGUCAGCAGAUGCCCUAUGUUUACUGGAUUUUAACUUCAGUGAUCUUGAUAUGUCCCAUACUGCCAUGAGUCAGGCCGUUGUGCGUAUGUUCUCAAUUUGCCCCAGGAGUUCAGCAUUGCCUACAAGGUUUCUGACCCUGUGUCAGUGGGUUUUGGGCAUACGGAUGUGCUACAGAAGCAAUGUAGUCUAUCAUAAGUAAAGUCAUGCAUUAUGCACCGCCCAGUGCAUGUUUGCCCCACUGCAGAGUGCAUUAAAAGAGUGAUUUUAGUAGUCUGGAGGUUCUUGCUCUCAUUAUUGCCAGUCUGUGCAUGAUCUGGAUCUGGACCACAGAGGAGUAAAUUACUCUCACAUAGAGAGGAAGAGAACGAAGUUCUACAAACUCGCUCAGAAUAACAACUGUCUAUGGAAAGAUGAAGGACAUGGAAAACUGCUGAGAGGUCAUUGCUAAUGACAGCAAGCGACCUAUGUGCAAUGACCAAACCAUGGCCAGUUCAGAAGUGGUUGAGCUUCUCCCACACACAUUUACAUGCAUGCAUGCAGAUUGCUGAACUUGUAGCAACAGAACUGUACGCACAAGGAGACCGAGAGAAGUGUGAAUACAACAUUCAGCCAAAUGAUUCGAUGGACUGUGAAAACUCCACUCAUUUAACCCCAUAUCAACUGACUAUGACUAUAUCAACGGGAUUUGCUCUUCGCUCUUCGAGGCCCUGGCCAGCAUUUGUGUGUCCCGUUUCCUUCUAAAAGAAGGUUGCUGAAGGAACAUAAAACAAUGGCAGAACUCUUUUUGUUAACCAUGCAUAGAGUGGACCAAGUAUGACUCAAAGUUGUAUCUGAUAUUCAGAUUAUUACUAUGUAUGAUGAAAUAAAAUACGUUAUUAUUAUAAUAAAAGCAUUUCACACUCUCAAA